RNAcentral lists this ribosomal RNA (87 nucleotides) under uncultured bacterium. RNAcentral's name for it is "partial 16S ribosomal RNA". The record is from RNAcentral.
UCAUGGGAGUUGUCAAGGCGUGAAGUCCGUGGGCUAACCGCAGCAGUGCGGAAGCAGCGGCCGAGCGCCGGGGCAGCGACUGGGACG